AAUGUGGUGAAAAGCAGUUGAAUCAGCUUU
RNAcentral lists this non-coding RNA (30 nucleotides) under Mus musculus (house mouse). The record is from RNAcentral. Lineage: Eukaryota; Metazoa; Chordata; Mammalia; Rodentia; Muridae.